RNAcentral lists this ribosomal RNA (460 nucleotides) under uncultured bacterium. RNAcentral describes it as "partial 16S ribosomal RNA". It matches the Rfam family "Bacterial small subunit ribosomal RNA", at positions 338 to 795 of the family's 1533-position model. The record is from RNAcentral.
CCUACGGGAGGCAGCAGUGAGGAAUAUUGGUCAAUGGGCGCGAGCCUGAACCAGCCAAGUAGCGUGAAGGAUGACUGCCCUACGGGUUGUAAACUUCUGUUAUAAAGGAAUAAAGUGAUGCACGUGUGCCUUUUUGUAUGUACUUUAUGAAUAAGGAUAGGCUAACUCCGUGCCAGCAGCCGCGGUAAUACGGAGGAUCCGAGCGUUAUCCGGAUUUAUUGGGUUUAAAGGGAGCGUAGAGGGGUUGUUAAGUCAGUUGUGAAAGGUGGAGGCUCAACCGUAAAAUUGCAAUUGAUACUGGCAGUCUUGAGUACAGUUGAGGUAGGCGGAAUUCGUGGUGUAGCGGUGAAAUGCUUAGCUAUCACGAAGAACUCCGAUUGCGAAGGCAGCUUACUAAACUGCCACUGACAUUGAUGCUCGAAAGUGUGGGUAUCAAACAGGAGUAGAUACCCGUGUAGUC